This 253-nucleotide ribosomal RNA is filed under the name uncultured bacterium. Its description in RNAcentral is "partial 16S ribosomal RNA". It matches the Rfam family "Bacterial small subunit ribosomal RNA", at positions 524 to 776 of the family's 1533-position model. The record is from RNAcentral.
UACGGAGGGUGCAAGCGUUAUCCGGAUUCACUGGGUUUAAAGGGUGUGUAGGCGGGCAUUUAAGUCAGUGGUGAAAUACCUGAGCUUAACUUGGGAACUGCCAUUGAUACUAUUUGUCUUGAAUGUCGUGGAGGUUAGCGGAAUAUGUCAUGUAGCGGUGAAAUGCUUAGAUAUGACAUAGAACACCUAUUGCGAAGGCAGCUAACUACGCGAAUAUUGACGCUGAGGCACGAAAGCGUGGGGAUCAAACAGG